UUUGAGUACCUUCGUUUCCUCGGCGGGUUCGCCCGCCGAUUGGACAAUUUAAACCAUUUGCAGUUGCAAUCAGCGUCUGAAAAAACAUAAUAGUUACAACUUUCAACAACGGAUCUCUUGGUUCUGGCAUCGAUGAAGAACGCAGCGAAAUGCGAUAAGUAGUGUGAAUUGCAGAAUUCAGUGAAUCAUCGAAUCUUUGAACGCACAUUGCGCCCCUUGGUAUUCCAUGGGGCAUGCCUGUUCGAGCGUCAUUUGUACCUUCAAGCUCUGCUUGGUGUUGGGUGUUUGUCUCGCCUCUGCGCGUAGACUCGCCUCAAAACAAUUGGCAGCCGGCGUAUUGAUUUCGGAGCGCAGUACAUCUCGCGCUUUGCAUUCAGAACGACGACGUCCAAAAGUACAUUUUUACAC
This 408-nucleotide ribosomal RNA is filed under the name uncultured Peyronellaea. RNAcentral describes it as "eukaryotic LSU rRNA". The stretch from base 98 to 251 matches the Rfam family "5.8S ribosomal RNA". The record is from RNAcentral. Lineage: Eukaryota; Fungi; Ascomycota; Dothideomycetes; Pleosporales; Didymellaceae.